GUGGAGUUAGCUCAGUUGGUAGAGCAGUCGGUUGAAACCCGAUGCGCGUAGGUUCGAUUCCUACACUUCGCACUGU
Molecule: transfer RNA, 76 nt
Filed under: Streptomyces phage Manuel
Lineage: Duplodnaviria; Heunggongvirae; Uroviricota; Caudoviricetes
Description: tRNA-Phe
Rfam family: tRNA
About the family: Transfer RNA (tRNA) molecules are approximately 80 nucleotides in length. Their secondary structure includes four short double-helical elements and three loops (D, anti-codon, and T loops). Further hydrogen bonds mediate the characteristic L-shaped molecular structure. tRNAs have two regions of fundamental functional importance: the anti-codon, which is responsible for specific mRNA codon recognition, and the 3' end, to which the tRNAs corresponding amino acid is attached (by aminoacyl-tRNA synthetases). tRNAs cope with the degeneracy of the genetic code in two manners: having more than one tRNA (with a specific anti-codon) for a particular amino acid; and 'wobble' base-pairing, i.e. permitting non-standard base-pairing at the 3rd anti-codon position.
Source: RNAcentral